This 253-nucleotide ribosomal RNA is filed under the name uncultured bacterium. RNAcentral's name for it is "partial 16S ribosomal RNA". It matches the Rfam family "Bacterial small subunit ribosomal RNA", at positions 524 to 776 of the family's 1533-position model. The record is from RNAcentral.
UACGAAGGGGGCUAGCGUUGCUCGGAAUGACUGGGCGUAAAGGGCGCGUAGGCGGUCGGAUAAGUCUUGUGUGAAAUCUUCGGGCUCAACUCGAAGUCUGCACAGGAAACUAUCUGGCUUGAGUGUGGGAGAGGUGAGUGGAAUUCCUGGUGUAGCGGUGAAAUGCGUAGAUAUCAGGAGGAACACCUGUGGCGAAGGCGGGUCUCUGGGCAGUAACUGACGCUGAGGAGCGAAAGCGUGGGGAGCGAACAGG